This 460-nucleotide ribosomal RNA is filed under the name uncultured bacterium. RNAcentral's name for it is "partial 16S ribosomal RNA". It matches the Rfam family "Bacterial small subunit ribosomal RNA", at positions 338 to 795 of the family's 1533-position model. The record is from RNAcentral.
CCUACGGGAGGCAGCAGUGAGGAAUAUUGGUCAAUGGGCGCAAGCCUGAACCAGCCAAGUCGCGUGAGGGAAGACGGCCCUACGGGUUGUAAACCUCUUUUGCCGGGGAGCAAGCCUGAGCACGUGUGCCCAGGCGGAGAGUACCCGGAGAAAAAGCAUCGGCUAACUCCGUGCCAGCAGCCGCGGUAAUACGGAGGAUGCGAGCGUUAUCCGGAUUUGUUGGGGUAAAGGGGUGCGCAGGCGGGCUGUUAAGCCGGCGGUAAAAAUUCAGGGAUCAACCCUGUCGAGCCGUCGGAACUGGUCGUCUUGAGUGGGCGAGAGGCAGGCGGAAUGCCUGGUGUAGCGGUGAAAUGCAUAGAUAUCACGAAGAACGCCGAUUGCGAAGGCAGCAUACCGGCGCCCAACUGACGCUGAGGCACGAAAGCGUGGGGAGCGAACAGGAUUAGAUACCCCUGUAGUC